This is a long non-coding RNA of Balaenoptera ricei (Rice's whale), 3292 nucleotides long. RefSeq lists it as uncharacterized. NCBI's taxonomy places the organism in Eukaryota, Metazoa, Chordata, Mammalia, Artiodactyla, Balaenopteridae. The record is from RefSeq and is a predicted model, not a curated record. The transcript has 3 exons.
UUAGGGGAUGAGGCCGGGCAGCCCUGGCUGGGGGAUCUGGGGCUGGAGAGCCUGCUGGCCAUGUGAACAGGGGACCAAUUAGUCACUCUGGGGGAGCAGGGGAAUGUAAGUUGGCCUGUUCACCAGCCGUUUGGGGGGGGGCACACGGUGGGGGGAGCAUGAACCCCACUGGCGGCCCCCAGCUGGCCUCCCCAGCCACACGGCCACACAGUGGGCUCCUCAGACGUGCCCAGGCCACCCGCCGCCCAGCGGGGACAGCUGCGGGCCGCCGGCCUCCGUGCCCCGGGCGGGGGCUGGGCCGCUUGACCUCGGAGGGCUGGUCUCCUCCAGGAUUUUACGGUCGGGGCCUGGCGUUCCCAGCCACAGCGUCUCGCAGAGGGGGCAGCCCGGAGGACGCUGAGUGGCCACAGAGGUUGGCUGUUCUCCCACGUGCCUGCAGCGGGGGGAGGGAGCCGCCGGAGGAAAACGGGGAGCCGCGAGGGAGACGUGGGAAGGUUCCCUGCGAACGGGAGCGGUGAGGACACCCAGAGAGGCCCAGAAAGCGGGAGACACACGGGGCCGGGGCCAGGGCCAGAGCGAGACAGGAGGACAAAGACAGAGGUGGCGGCAGCGAGACAAAUGGAGGACCGGCGAGCCGGGAGCAGCCGGGCCGCGCGGAGAAGGCGCGCGCGGCCGCCGACAUGUGUGUGGGACGACCAACCUUCAGAUGCAAAGGCUUUUGUACCUAGAAGCUUCCUCUGGUUUGCCCGGCCAGCACUUUGCUCCUCAGCCCCAAAUGCAGCCCAGAAAUGAAGACAAGCCGAUUCCACAGGUACGGAAUGUCCUGUCCAUCAGGCACCCUCUCCCGCCCUCUCCCCUCAUCACCUGAGGUGCAGGCUUGGAGAGCCUGUGCAAGGUUCCCUGUCCCCUUCACACCCAGUCACCUGUGAGGUUGGUGCUUUCACUGCCCCCAUUUUCCACAUGGGGAAACUGAGCCAGAGAGUCAGCUAGCCCAGGAUAGAAAUGGUACAGCCGAGGGCCCACACAGGGCCUGCCCUCCAACACCACGCCCUCAAGCACUGCGCCCUCCUCCCUCCUCCGUGGGCGCCCUCCACCCUCCUUCCUCCCUCGGCUGGCCCAGCUGCUCCCCAACCGAACCAGCCUUUGUCGAGACCCACGCAGACGUCCACCACGCUGCCUUCCACAGGCCAACUGGCUUAUUUCCCAAGAUGACCCGAAGAAGGGGUGCUGCAGACCCAUUUUACACUGGGGGAAACUGGGGUCUGAAGCAGCCACAGAAAAUCUUUGUGGGGACGACCGAGGCCUCCGUUCCCACACGACUGACUUGGCGCAGCUGCCAACAGCCGGCUGACCUCCGCCCCCGGAGCCUGUGAGCCUGAGCUGCCCGCGGACACCGGUUUUCCCAGCCCCGGCCGAGGGGCUCCUCCAACGCUCCCCGCCCCUACAAGAACCUCAGCUCAGAGCCAGAGCCCAGAAGAUGACCUUCAAGGUCGUGUGGUCCCCUGGAGGGCACUCCUGCUGGGUGUGAGCCCAGGCUCUGGGCUCCCCCGGCCUGGGGGGUCUUCCUCACGCGGAGGGACCAGCCUUGCUGACUAAUGCACUAGGGGUGGUGAACAGCCAUAUGCAGCAGCCCUGGCCCUGGGACACUUCUGGAAAUGUACCCUACGAGCAUGAAAACUGUGAACGUGCAGGAAGAUGUUCUUUGCACUGUUAUUUAUAAUAGUGGGGGAAACCGUCUAAACGUCCAACCAUAAGGUGCAGUUAAUAAAACCCAGACAGCCCCCUUCACACACUGCUCAACACGCUCAGCUAUCACCCUGUGGGUGCGGGACACCCCUAUGGACAUCCAUUGCUCAGGCUGCCGUAACCAAGUACCAGGCUGGCAGAUUCAACCAGCAGAGAUAUAUUUUUCUCACAAUUCUGGAGGCUGGAAGUUGGAGACCAAGGUUGUUGACAGGUUUGGUUCCUUCCAAGGCCUCUCUCCUUGGCUUGCAGAGGACCAUCUUCUCCCUGUAUAUCUCACGGGGUUUUCCCUCUGUGUGUGUCUGUGUCCUAAUCUCUUCUUCUUACAAGGACACUAGCCCUAUUGGAUCAGGGCCCACCCUAAUGACCUCUGUAAAGACCCAAAUAUAGUCAAAUACAGUCACAUUCUAAGGUGCUAGGGUUAGCAGUUCAACAUAGGAAUUUGUGGGGGGGAUACAACUCAGCCCACGACAGGAAUCCUCCACCAAACGGAAGCCAUUUGACAGGCCAUGUGUCAAGUGACACUGGCACCAAGGUGACACAGAAGCUUUCAGCCCUCUUGAAGCAUGAGAUCCAAGAGUUCAAAGAUCCCAUUGGCUCCCAGGAAGGAAGCCCUAUCUGAAAUGCUCUACCCCAUGAGGCAGCAUCAAAGCCAAGGAAAGGGCCUGGGGCAGCUCCCAGCUCCAAGUCUCAGGAGCUGGGUGGCCUUGGAGAGGCUACCCCACACCCACCUCGUAGGUCCUCAGUAUCAGAGGCCAGGCUCCCUGGUUCACCUGGCAGGGGGGCCUCGUCUAAGCCCCUCCACCCUCACUACUGGCCUCCUUAGGCUCGAUGGUGACAAUCCAGCUCCACACAGGACAACAAGGUGUCACCCAUAAAGGCCUUGCAAGGCAGGCCCCUCCGGUUCCCAUAACCCCAAGGGCAGCUGUAGAGGUGCCGCCCCAUUUCACAGACGGUGGAAGCGAGGCUGACACAGCCAGCGGCCUGUCCAAGGUCACAUGGCACGGAAAUGCCUGCCUCACAUUUAACACUAAGACAACUCGGUGAUAGCAUUAACGCGUGUUUCAAUGGGAGGGGGUCCCAUCACCUUGUGAACACAGCCGUACCAGCUUUCCAAGUCCUCUUCCAGCCUGGACUUACACGGACAUAUUUCUUUAAGGCUGUAAUCAAGACACGUGUACAAUUUUGUGCUCUGCUUAUUUUGACUCAGCAUUAGAUCAUCAGCUUCUCUGUGUUGAAAUGGGCUCCAUGGCUGUCAUUUUAAAGCCACAGAACAUUCCACCCCCAGGGGUACACAACAGUUUGCCUAACUGUAUUUUAUUGUUGGAUGUUCAGAAUUUCCCUACCACUAUAAAUAACAGUGCAAAGAACAUCUUUGUGUGUCUUAUCGUUUUCAUUCUUGCAAGUUCAUUCCUUUGGAUGCAUUUCUAGAAAUGGGAUUAUUGGGCCAAAGUAUGGAGUGUCUUUAAAAGCCCUGGAUACACAUUGACAAAUGGUUUGGGGAACAGACAAUAUGAUACGGAUUUGUGCGCUGCCACCGGCAAUACAA